AGGUUUUAAAGCGAUUGAUUUCUUGGAGCAAAGAAGUCGCUUUUUAGGUUAAGAGUGACUCUAGGAAGAAUCUAUUACUUAUGUGUGGGUGUAAAGUGGCAGAUGGAAAUGGUGUUAUGCUGGUUACUGGUGUUAGAGUCAACACUUGAUGGGGUUUGCUGAUGGCCAGUAUCUCUGGAGACAUUGGUGAAGAAACCCUCUCACUGGUUAUUUUAGCUACUCUUAAAUGUUGUGCUAGUGAUUCUUCUGACUCAGCCAUAUCU
Non-coding RNA from Camelina sativa (false flax), 263 nucleotides. The record is from RefSeq and is a predicted model, not a curated record. Lineage: Eukaryota; Viridiplantae; Streptophyta; Magnoliopsida; Brassicales; Brassicaceae.